Molecule: long non-coding RNA, 5442 nt
Organism: Megalobrama amblycephala (Wuchang bream)
Lineage: Eukaryota; Metazoa; Chordata; Actinopteri; Cypriniformes; Xenocyprididae
Exons: 6
Source: RefSeq, a predicted model, not a curated record
AACGGCUGAUUCAUUCCGGAAGUGUUGCUCAGAGAUACAAAACCAUGCUGUGGACUUUGGAACUAUUUUCUAUGGCGAAAUACAGCGAAACGACGAUUGGGUGUCUAAAAUCCUUCUUCAAAACCCGAAACCUUUUCAGCGAGACGUAUUGCGCUUGAUUAGGUUCUUCUGAAGUACCUCACAUCCUUGCUACGCCCUUAAUGCUGUCAGCAGCCAUCGAAGACCUCGCUGCACGGUGGAAAUGAUCAUUCCCCCAUUACCAAGGCUCUACUAUUUUUAACUGAUACAUUAAGCUUCAAUUGAACUGGCAUAUAUACACAUAUGGUAAGUUAUUAUAUCCAUAUUUGGGUCAUGAUGGUGUGAUGAUGUGAUAUAUUUUACUCAUUCAUGGACUGCAUUGCUUUGUGUUAUAUAAUCGCUAUAUUCUUUAUAUUAUAUUGCAGUUGUAUGUCCCUCCGAGUUUGGUCAAAUAGAAAGAAUAGAAAGAAAUUUCCAACGCUCACAUACUCUUUCCCGCUUUUCCAACCUGGUUUUGUCUCAAAAUAUUAUUUUGCUAUGAGAAUAUUGCUAGUUUUGUAAAGUAUGCAGAGGUACUUCUGUCGUACAAAUCUGUCUUUGUUGCUCCUGUGAGUUUUAUUUACCUACCUCAAACAGUAUCUUAAACUAAGAGAACAGAUGAAAUCCAUCUCUGCAUCAUAUUUUGGCCACUUUUUAUCCCAAAAUUCUGGCACAAUAUUUGUACCUCAUGUCUUGAACACUCUGUCAACAUUUAAUAUCAUCCAUGGUAGUCUUUUUCUUCAUAUGACCAGUAUUGAUUGAGAGUUGCAGUUCAUUUUCUAUGAGCACCUCGAGGGUCGAUUGUUCAAAAAUCCUGCAAGGAGACGGAAAACCCUGCAAAGGCACUCAAUAAAAUGAAACUUUUGUUGAGGCAGAAAAAAGUGGAACAAGCCUAAAUAUUGACAGAACAUAUUUGACUAGGGCUUGCUGUUCCUCGGAUUUUGUCAAGCUGUACGGGAGCUCAAGCCGGCUGUGAAUUGCGAAUGAAGGUCUGCACGCUAGUUCUUGUCCAGGGUGUUGUAGCGAGUGUGGGACUGACUUAAUUUCCUUCCCAGUUGCCACACCUGAUUUGGCAUUAACAAUGGAGAGAGAGAACUGUAAAGAAAGAAAGAUGCAUGUAAAGGGGAAGGAAGGAUGGAAAACAAAAAGUAGGAAAAACAAGACAAAGUAAGUCAAGGAGAAAGUGAGAAGACAGACAGAAAGUUGCAUGGGGAAAGGAAGAAAAACAAAAGGAAAAAACUAAGAAGGAAACAAAAAGAAGGCAAGGAGGAGGAAAGAAAGGUGCACAGUGGAAGGAAGAAAAACUAAAAGUAGGAAAGAGGAAGGGGAAAAAAGGAAGAGAAAGGCUUCAAAGAGAAAAGGAAGACAAAGUAAGUUGUAAUGGGAAGGAAGAAAAAAUAAAGUAGGAAAGGAGAAUGGGGAGAAGAGUAAGGAAAGCAAGAGUAAGGAAAGGAAUAAAAAGAUAAAGAAAGCUGCAAAGGGGAAGGAAGGAAAACAGAGGAGGAAGGUGGAAGGAAAUAAAAAAGAAGGCAAGGAAGAGGAAGACAGAAAGAAAGUUUCGAGGGGAACUAAAGAAAACAAAAUGGAGGAAGGAGAGAAAAAGAAAGGAACACAAGGAGGAGGAAAGAAAGACAAAGUAACGAAAGAAAGUUGCACGGAUGAAGGAAGAAAAACAAAUGGAAAACAAAGUUGGAAGGAAAAACAGUAAGGAGAACAAAAAGGAGGAAGGAAAUGAAAAGGAAGGAAGGCAAGGACGAGGAAAGAAAGUCCAAGCAAAGAAGGAAGGGAAGUAAGUCCAAAAAUGUUGAAAGAGGGAAAAGAAUGGAAAGGAAAUGAAUAGGAGACAAAAUAAGAGGGACUUUAACAACCCUUGCUUCCCUGAAAAACAAAACAAAACAAAAAAAAAACUAUUUAAACCAUGGUCUUAGUUGGUUAAAGUUAGUUUAACCGGUCUCUCAUCCCAACCAAGCUAGUUUUUAGCUAUUUUUCUAGCCUAACCACCUGAACAAAACCCAUCUAAAACCAUAGAAACUGCUUAUCUUAACCAUGUUGGCUAGGCAGGGCGACCAGUACAGUAGGAUUUUUGGACCAUAAAGGUUACCAAAUUUUGUCUAGUUAAAUGUAGGAUAAUAAUCUGCAUUCAAUUAAUCCGUAAACCCAUAAAAACCCACUCAGUGGAUGGGGAGAAAACUGCGGAGAACGAUCGCGCAACACGCACCCGAGACAAACCUCCAAACACCCUCGCUGCAUGUCGCUAUCGGAGCAUAAUCUAAAAUUACGCAGCGAAGCUAACUCAUUAGCAUACUCAUGCACUGGAGGGAAAUGCACUGAUUAUGUUUUACUUUACACUGAUGACCGAGAUGUAUUCAUCUGCUACGACCGCUGCUUUGUGUGUCUGCAUGUUCGGUCAGGGGAAAAGGGAGGGGGGGACGGAUACGUAAUAAUCAUCCUCCCUAGAUUAAAUGGAGGCCAUUAGACAGAUAUUAGGGGAACAAUUGGGAGUAUUGGGCCAGGCUGUCCGCUAGCGCACUUCACUACGAUCAACGAGUGAGUCAUGGCUCCGGCUAAUGGUUUAUCAGCCGUGUAGACAUAGGACCGUAGCGGGGCUGCGGAGGGCAGCGCACCAGGAGGCCUGGCCGCUGAUAUUUUAUCGGCCUACAUGUCUCCGGCUUCUGUUCCCUCCUCUCCCGGCAUUACCGGGAAAAAGUCAUUACUGCUGUAAUUAUUUUCAAGAAGAUGUACUCGCAAAUAUCAGCUAUUUGCUUUCUUUGAUAAAUACUACAGCAUUCAGGGGGGUUGUUUUGCUGCACGAUGCACCAUGUGCUUCGCUCCCCCCCCACAUGAGGUUGCCAUGUUAUUUUCCAGGGUAUGUCCAUUUAGAAGUAGGAUGUUUUACCGCGUUUGCGUCCACGCGUUAAUUGGUCGUAAUUAAGGACAUGCAAGCACCACAAAAAGGAUGAGUGCGGUACUCAUUGAGGUAGAGGCAUGUUCGAAGCCGAACGUGUGGGUUGGUUCUGUCAGAGAGGCACAAGGCAAACAAAGCUGCUCGGUCAUGUCUGAGAGCGACAUGAAUAAUCUCUGAUUGAGCCCAAUUAUCACAGCAGACAAAUCUGACAGAAACAGAGGCGGAGGCAAAAUGAGUAAGACCUAUUAAUAUUAGCAAAAAAAAAAAAAAAACUCGCGCGAGUGAAAAAAUCGUGAGAGAAACAUUGGCGCGAAAAGAGAACAGGCAAAACAAUAUGGUGCCAAAAGAUCCAGAGGCGAAAUUAGACCACCUUGUGUCAACACACAAAAUAAAACGAGGCACCUGUUUAUAAUAGUCACCUCCCUGGAAGAAGCGUAUUUCUCCUGAUGGGACCCCUACUGAUGAGAGGAGACCCGACUAAUCUUUAUGUGACCUGUACCUAGCCGCGGGGGACGGCGAGAACACAACGCGUGCCCGGCGGUACAAUAGGAACACAGAGACUCGUAUUGACAGUUUGCGGUCGGUGGUAUCAUUUUGCUCCCCAGGAUGGCAUAAUCACAUUAUGGAUAAAAGUGAAGCGUUGUCUGUAUUAAUAGGCCUUGAGUCAGGUGGGUUUUACCCCGGUGAGCCUCUGUGCCGAAAAGUAGGCUUGGAAACAUUUAGUCGGAAUGACUAGUGCAGUGCUGCCACCAUGUGGUGAGUGCGCAUAUGUCAACAAGUGGAUCUUCAUAAUAAAGGCAUGCUGAUCAUGUUUAAAAGGAACCAGGGAAGAAAAAUAACACCUGAUUUUUCUUUUUCUGAGUAUCUGAGCAGGUUUCCCAUGGAUUCGUGAAGUCUUUUGUCACUUUAUGCCGUCAGUCAAUGCACACGUACAUAUUCCAUUGCAGUGCUUUUCUCCAUUAAGGCCAGAGGAGGGCAGUGCUGAUCACAGGAAGCCUUCUCCGGAGGACGAGAUCUGGGAGUUUAUCCUCAAACGCAGAAUAACACCAUGCUGUGUCAGCAGUCUGGUCUGAAACAUGUCAUGAAUCCGAGAGGACGGAGAUGUUGUCCAACCUAUGGAAGGAAAACAGAGAGGGAGAAAAUGAAAGAGAAAGAGAGGGCAUCGUGCUUCUCGCAAGCUGACAAUUCCAGCGACUCUGUCAGACAGCAGUUGACUGCUACUCUGCUAUUCCUGUUCGAGGGCUGAACCCACUCUGCCUUGUUGGCACAGAUAUUUUUAGCCCUGGCGUUUGGCAGAGAGACCAGCACUAAGAGUGAUGGGGCCACACAGGCCUCCAACGGCAAAAGGGCAGCAGUGGGAAGAAGAGGGCGGAGGCGGGCAAGGUCACAUGAGGCCACUGGAGACGAGAGAGUGGAGGAUGAGCUCUCUUCCCAGCAGGUCUCUUUCUUAGAUCCACCUGUCUGUGUGUCGAGCUCUGCGGAAAGCACUAACAUAUUCUCUUUGUUAGCUGUACCUCCUACACAAUUUGUCUCCGCAUGAAUGACCUUGACUGCUCCAAUCCCAAAAUAGACCAUGCACACAGGUGUUUUUUUUUUUUUUUUUUUUUUUUACAAUACAAGACUGUAUUAUCACACGGAGAUUUUCUUUCUAUAAAUGGAAGAUCUGAAUCUUACGCUAUUAAGCAUCUCCUGCCAAGUCAAAGCAAUCUGUCAUUUGGCAUUCAGUUCUGCGGAUUACUUGUUGCUAUGUGAAAGUUUGGCUGAAGGCUUUAUUGUUUUGGAAAGUCGUCACAUUUCUGGAAUAAAUUUUCUGUCCACCUAGUUUGUACUAGUAUAAAUGCUACUAUACAUUUGUAGGACUAUAUAUUGAGAAGGUAAACAUUUGGUUGAUAUCCAAAACAGUGAAUGAGACAUAUUUGACAACUCAGUUGUGUUUUCCUGGUAAUUAAAGCAAAUGAUUCGGUCAGUGAAAACAAAUUUGACAGCCUCAUGGCCAACACCAAUGUCAUGGAUUUGAUUCCCAAAGAACAUACAAAAUGUGUCCUAUGUGUGACGCAAUAACUAUUAGGCCUACUUCCAGAAAUUUUCUGCAAUUCAAAUACGACUUCAGCCAGCAACAGGACAUUUCGUUGGCAGGUUAGCAUCUAAUUGUGUUGUGUCAUGCCACAAUGAGAUCUCAAUGGUCCAAAUGUAAAUGUAGACAGUAUCAAAAAAUACUUGGCUAUACCUUAUUUUGAUGGUCCUCUUUAGACAUUCUGUUGACUAUAAGUAAUGUUGCACCUACAUGCCAACGAACUCUCAUUAGAGUAUUAGUAGACUGUCUGCUUAAUGUCUGCUAACACUUUAUUGUGAUGGUCCCCCAACAGACCCUAACCCUUUAUUCUACUAACCCUAAUGGUGCGUUCACACCGGACGCGACUUGCGCGAAUAAAUCGCGCUAUUCGCGCGUAGUUGGACGCUUGAACAUUUUGAGUUUACUC